UACCAAUGCUGAUGGAUGUGGUGGCGAUACUCCUUGAAAUGUAAAUAUAAAUGAGCAUCCACAGCUCGCCGCAUGCGAUCCUUCUCAAAUCCAAUAAUAUCAAAUACAUCAUGUCAAUAACAAAUAUUAAAAGAAUAUCAUGCUAAUUAAAUAUUCAUAAUAUAAUCUAUUUUAUCUGUAAUUGAGUAUAGAAAAUCUCUCUUUGAGCCUGUACAACAUGAC
Molecule: long non-coding RNA, 222 nt
Filed under: Elaeis guineensis (African oil palm)
Lineage: Eukaryota; Viridiplantae; Streptophyta; Magnoliopsida; Arecales; Arecaceae
Description: long non-coding RNA (EGUI_LNC001259)
Source: RNAcentral